UACAGAGGUCUCAAGCGUUGUUCGGAAUCACUGGGCGUAAAGGGCGCGUAGGCGGCCAUUCAAGUCGGAGGUGAAAGCCCAGGGCUCAACCCUGGAAUUGCCUUCGAUACUGUCUGGCUAGAGACCGGAAGAGGUAAGUGGAACUGCGAGUGUAGAGGUGAAAUUCGUAGAUAUUCGCAAGAACACCAGUGGCGAAGGCGGUCUGCUGGGCCGUUGCUGACGCUGAGGCGCGACAGCGUGGGGAGCAAACAGG
This 253-nucleotide ribosomal RNA is filed under the name uncultured bacterium. Its description in RNAcentral is "partial 16S ribosomal RNA". It matches the Rfam family "Bacterial small subunit ribosomal RNA", at positions 524 to 776 of the family's 1533-position model. The record is from RNAcentral.